Molecule: ribosomal RNA, 441 nt
Filed under: uncultured bacterium
Lineage: Bacteria
Description: partial 16S ribosomal RNA
Rfam family: Bacterial small subunit ribosomal RNA
Source: RNAcentral
CCUACGGGUGGCAGCAGUGGGGGAUAUUGCACAAUGGGGGGAACCCUGAUGCAGCGACGCCGCGUGGGUGAAGGAGUAUUUCGGUAUGUAAAGCCCUAUCAGCAGGGAAGAACAAUGACGGUACCGGACUAAGAAGCACCGGCUAAAUACGUGCCAGCAGCCGCGGUAAUACGUAUGGUGCAAGCGUUAUCCGGAUUUACUGGGUGUAAAGGGAGCGCAGGCGGCGCGUUAAGCCUGGUGUGAAAGCCUGCGGCUCAACCGCGGGACUGCAUUGGAAACUGGCGGGCUGGAGUGACGGAGGGGUAGGCGGAAUUCCUGGUGUAGCGGUGAAAUGCGUAGAGAUUAGGAGGAACACCAGUGGCGAAGGCGGCCUACUGGACGGUGACUGACGCUGAGGCUCGAAAGCGUGGGGAGCAAACAGGAUUAGAUACCCGGGUAGUC